GACGUCACGAGAGUUGUAGUACUCGCGUCAGAGUCGAACGCUGGCGGCGUGCUUAACACAUGCAAGUCGAACGGAGCACCUUCGAAAGAGACUUCGGUCAAUGGAAAAGAAUGCUUAGUGGCGGACGGGUGAGUAACGCGUGAGGAACCUGCCUUUCAGCGGGGGACAACAGUUGGAAACGACUGCUAAUACCGCAUAACGUACGGGUAUCGCAUGGUAUCUGUACCAAAGAUUUAUCGCUGAGAGAUGGCCUCGCGUCUGAUUAGCUAGUUGGUAGGGUAACGGCCUACCAAGGCGACGAUCAGUAGCCGGACUGAGAGGUUGGCCGGCCACAUUGGGACUGAGAUACGGCCCAGACUCCUACGGGAGGCAGCAGUGGGGAAUAUUGGGCAAUGGGCGGAAGCCUGACCCAGCAACGCCGCGUGAAGGAAGAAGGCUUUCGGGUUGUAAACUUCUUUUGACAGGGAAGAGCAGAAGACGGUACCUGUCGAAUAAGCCACGGCUAACUACGUG
RNAcentral lists this ribosomal RNA (513 nucleotides) under uncultured Oscillibacter sp. RNAcentral describes it as "bacterial SSU rRNA". It matches the Rfam family "Bacterial small subunit ribosomal RNA", at positions 1 to 507 of the family's 1533-position model. Lineage: Bacteria; Bacillati; Bacillota; Clostridia; Eubacteriales; Oscillospiraceae. The record is from RNAcentral.